UGCGUAUAUCCAUAAUAAUUACAUGCGUUACUUACCAAUUACCGCCAAGUGCCUCACUGAUAGAUCUAUUUACAAUUUCAAAACUGUAAGGUGGAAAGAAUGGAGCCGUCAGAGGUUUUGGUCCAUGCACGUGAGAUAGGUCCACAACACGAAUAUCAGAGCAGCUUGAAGAUGUUGCAGCAUUAAUUCCGUUUACUAAACAUAUAAAUAAAACAAAAAACACAGUCUUAAUUCUCCAAUUCAUUUUUAUUGUAUGAAACUCCCCUUCUUUUAUGUAGCAUUUAACUAGUAUCUUGUGUUAAUUGUUUUAAAUAUUACAUGUAUAUUAGCGCCCG
Molecule: long non-coding RNA, 335 nt
Filed under: Mytilus galloprovincialis (Mediterranean mussel)
Lineage: Eukaryota; Metazoa; Mollusca; Bivalvia; Mytilida; Mytilidae
Source: RNAcentral